GAGUUUGAUCCUGGCUCAGAUUGAACGCUGGCGGCAUGCCUUACACAUGCAAGUCGAACGGCAGCACGGGAGCUUGCUCCUGGUGGCGAGUGGCGAACGGGUGAGUAAUGCAUCGGAACGUAUCCUGGAGUGGGGGAUAACGUAGCGAAAGUUACGCUAAUACCGCAUAUUCUGUGAGCAGGAAAGCGGGGGACCUUCGGGCCUCGCGCUCUUGGAGCGGCCGAUGUCGGAUUAGCUAGUUGGUGAGGUAAAGGCUCACCAAGGCGACGAUCCGUAGCAGGUCUGAGAGGAUGAUCUGCCACACUGGAACUGAGACACGGUCCAGACUCCUACGGGAGGCAGCAGUGGGGAAUUUUGGACAAUGGGGGCAACCUUGAUCCAGCCAUGCCGCGUGAGUGAAGAAGGCC
Molecule: ribosomal RNA, 407 nt
Filed under: bacterium enrichment culture clone ALO1_GLFRUDD03GJLTA
Lineage: Bacteria
Description: bacterial SSU rRNA
Rfam family: Bacterial small subunit ribosomal RNA
Source: RNAcentral